AUCGUUUGGAAGCAUGCGAACGAUGGGAUCUACACGGCGGCCACCGCAUACAAGGCUCAAUUCCUAGGCAUGACUCUUUCCCCUUUGGAUCGCAUGGUUUGGAAGGCAUGGGCACCUCCAAAGGUUAAGUUUUUUGCUUGGUUGGCGUUGCAAGAUAGGAUUUGGACCGUCGAUCGCUUGGAGCGUCGAGGUUGGCCAAAUUGUGGCCUUUGCAAGCUCUGCAACAGGGAGCAAGAAUCAGGAGCCCACCUUUUCUUCAAGUGCCGCUACACGAUUCGGCUAUGGAAGUCUCUUAUUGAGAAACUAGGUCUUGCGCAC
Molecule: ribosomal RNA, 318 nt
Filed under: Triticum aestivum (bread wheat)
Lineage: Eukaryota; Viridiplantae; Streptophyta; Magnoliopsida; Poales; Poaceae
Description: partial small subunit ribosomal RNA
Source: RNAcentral